AUGCAUGCAGUCGUACGCACGCGCUUCGGCGCGUGAGUGGCGCACGGCUGAGUAACACGUGGGAACCCGCCCUCCGGUGGGGGAUAACGCGACGAAAGUCGCGCUAAUCCCGCAUACGUCCGCAAGGGGAAAGCGCUUCGGCGCGCCGGAGGAGGGGCCUGCGGCCCAUCAGGUGGUUGGUGGGGUAACGGCCUACCAAGCCGAUGACGGGUAGCUGGUCUGGGAGGAUGACCAGCCAGACUGGGACUGAGACACGGCCCAGACUCCUACGGGAGGCAGCAGCAAGGAAUUUUCGGCAAUGGGCGCAAGCCUGACCGAGCAACGCCGCGUGCGGGAUGACGGCCUUCGGGUUGUAAACCGCUUUUCGGGGGGACGACUACGACGGUACCCCCGGAAGAAGCCCCGGCUAACUCUGUGCCAGCAGCCGCGGUAAGACAGAGGGGGCGAGCGUUGUCCGGAGUUACUGGGCGUAAAGCGCGCGCAGGCGGUGGUCUCAGUGUCGUGUGAAAGCCCCCGGCUCAACCGGGGGAGGUCAUGGCAAACUAGACGGCUGGAGCGGCGGAGAGGCCCCUCGAAUUGCCGGUGUAGCGGUGAAAUGCGUAGAGAUCGGCAGGAAGACCA
This 621-nucleotide ribosomal RNA is filed under the name uncultured bacterium. Its description in RNAcentral is "bacterial SSU rRNA". It matches the Rfam family "Bacterial small subunit ribosomal RNA", at positions 51 to 711 of the family's 1533-position model. The record is from RNAcentral.